GGGCUAUUAGCUCAGGUGGUUAGAGCGCACCCCCUGAUAAGGGUGAGGUCCCUGGUUCAAGUCCAGGAUGGCCCA
This 75-nucleotide transfer RNA is filed under the name Synechocystis aquatilis SAG 90.79. RNAcentral describes it as "tRNA-Ile". It matches the Rfam family "tRNA". Rfam says of the family: Transfer RNA (tRNA) molecules are approximately 80 nucleotides in length. Their secondary structure includes four short double-helical elements and three loops (D, anti-codon, and T loops). The record is from RNAcentral. Lineage: Bacteria; Bacillati; Cyanobacteriota; Cyanophyceae; Synechococcales; Merismopediaceae.